Molecule: ribosomal RNA, 478 nt
Filed under: uncultured bacterium
Lineage: Bacteria
Description: bacterial SSU rRNA
Rfam family: Bacterial small subunit ribosomal RNA
Source: RNAcentral
CAAGUCAACUUGCUUAUGAUAGCAAUAUUGUAAAGAGGGUGGCGCACGGGUGAGUAACACGUAAGUAAUCUGCCUUUAGGUCUGGAAUAAUUCCGCGAAAGCGGGACUAAUCCCGGAUGAUGCAGCGGCUUGACAUCAAGAAUAGUUGUUAAACCUACCGAGCAAUCGGUUCGGGCCUAAAGAUGAGCUUGCGUCCCAUUAGAUAGUUGGCGGGGUAACAGCCCACCAAGUCAACGAUGGGUAGCUGGUCUGAGAGGAUGAUCAGCCACACUGGAACUGAGAUACGGUCCAGACUCCUACGGGAGGCAGCAGUAAGGAAUAUUGCUCAAUGGGAGAAAUCCUGAAGCAGCAACGCCGCGUGAAGGAUGAAGACCUUUUGGUUGUAAACUUCUGUAGAGAAGGAGAAAACCCUCACUCUGUGAGGAUUGAUAGUACUUCUAAAGUAAGCCCCGGCUAACUACGUGCCAGCAGCCGCGGU